This 2648-nucleotide long non-coding RNA is filed under the name Volvox carteri. Its description in RNAcentral is "long non-coding RNA (VCAR_LNC001845)". Lineage: Eukaryota; Viridiplantae; Chlorophyta; Chlorophyceae; Chlamydomonadales; Volvocaceae. The record is from RNAcentral.
AGCGCCCUCGUGCGUAGCAUGCCUGAAUAGGAACGUGGUUUGGGGACGUGUGGGGGAAACUUUUGAACAGGUAUGAUGAUGUGGAUCCACUGCUGCAACAGCAUGAAUCAUAUCACCUAUUCAUAUUAGGAAGCGGGGAAAUUGCUGCUACUAUACUAGUAGUACUGACAAGGGUAACACGGAAACGCCACACACCAUAGCGCGGCAACCUUCAAGGUUAAAAGCUUUAUUUGUGGCGUUAUUGCCUCAACUAACAAACAAUUGCGACAUUCUAUGCGAUAUUGCCUAAUUACAUUAUUACAGCUGGCGCUAAAGAUUUUAUAAAUCCAUGUUACUGCGGUAUACUACAUAUACUCUUUUCAAGGUGAUAUGGUUUAGAGGGGGCGUCAUACAGGAUUUAUGUAUAGAAAUCUGGGCGCCACAACACCCCAGCCAGCAUACGAAUAUAUAGUAAAGAACUCGCGACAAGCGCCCACACAACUACUACUAGUACUACUACCACCACUACUACUACUACUACUUAGCCUACAUACGUGCAAGCAAGCUAAGAGGCGGCGGGAUUUGCCCGAUUGCCCCCACGAAAAACACCCGAGCUGGGAGGAAAUGUGAGCAGGCCCCUAAAACGAUUCCGCUGUGUGCUGACACACAAAAGGAGGCAUCCCCACUUCGCGCCGGGUCUCACGGGUCUCACAAAUACCACACCAAGGCCCUCCAGGACCCUCUUUUAUCUUGGCUCCAACCUGCAACAUUUUUUUCACGGAAAAAGUGAAAAAACAUUGGGGAUGUGUGCUCGGUCCUGCUCAGGUAGCAGAGGGCCCCAAUCCAUAGGGGGCGCUACACCCGAUGCCACCACCACCACCACAAUCACCACUACCACUACCACCACUAUGAAUGUCCAUACAAUCCAGGGCUGCGACCAGCCGGAUGACGAGCAUACACGGAAUAUCUACUCAUGCCCGACUAUAUAUACCUCAACAUGAAUCCCGAGAUGUUCGGACAUAUGGCUGAGCAUCAGGCGAGGGCAGCGGCCAUUACAUCAGCAGAGCUGGCCAGCAAACAACAAAAGUCCCUGCCAACUGCUCCAUCAAUCCGCCUCUUGCGCCACCGCCCGGCCGCGACCCCACCCCGCCUGUUUCUCUCUAUGCCGCACCGAAAGUUCCAUCCCAUCCCAUACUCCAGCACACCUAUACGCACAUAAAACAUACAUUUUCACUCUUAAGCAGUCCCCCUGCAAGGCUGCUCCGAAACCAACGACAUGCCGCACUGCUGACAUUGAUUUGAACACCACAUGCAUGGUACAGUACUGCACAUGCAUACAUACGUACGUACGUACAUGCAUACGUACCCCAGCCGCACGAAGCCAGGCACAGUAGAGUCCCCACCCUCCUCCCUCCUCAACCAACAACCCCAAUCACAGCUUCUCUUCUAAUACUAAAUAUACUGACAUACAUACACACCGCAUGACUGUCCAAACGACCUACUACUAUUUGAUUGACAAAACCCAUUUAUGGGCCGGACAAAAUGUACCAAGCAACAAAACUGAAAUGACUUUUCAAGGGACCCCUUGGACACCCUUACUACUUUUUACAUUGCGUGCACAGCACAAUACGUAUGGAUACAUUGCCAGCCCCUAAAACGACGCAAAAGGUUGUAUACAUUUUUAGGAAGGACGUAUAUGCUACACCAGACAGAUUGCUUUUGUCUGAUUACGAAUCCUGUCCGACAUAUCAUGAGCCAGCGUAACACAUGUCCCAACCCUCCGCCUUUCUAAACCGGCGCCAGCAAAGGGGCAAAAGCCCUGCCAGGAGACCAACCAUGCCAGCGCGCUUGGGGGAGGGGGCCAAAAUAAUAAUACCCUCGCAUCCACGAAAACUACCACAACCACAACCACCAGCUUGCUGCACUGCCGUCCCGACGGGCCUGCUAGUCGUCAUGCACAACCCAUGGCACAGGCUCUCCGCGAAACGCGCUUGGUCCGGUAGAGUUCCUUCCCCCUCAUCAUCGAAGUCUUCUCCUUCCCUAGGUUCCCCCGCCGAUCGACAAUAUCGUCGUCGCAACACACUACUACAACAACUCUGUACCAGGACCUCCAGCGUGCACGAGCAAGCAGCACGAGCGUGCCUACAACAAAGAAUAUUUUAUUUUGCAGUCAACAAGGUUUAUCGCAGCAUUAGAUAGGUAUGCUGGGCGAUAUGCACACAGGUAUGCGGGUUUUUAAGCUAUCCCCUUUUUCCUGUCAGACGACAGAGCAAUCUCGUGUGUGUCUGUCUGUCUGUGUGUGUGUGUGUGUGUGUCACAUCGUGUUUCGGCGGUGCACCAUGAAUGCACAACGCAACCAUACAUACACGUGCAACACGACAACAGUAAAAAAAAGACGCGCAAAGGCGGAGAAGACACAGAUACAGAGGAACACAAACAAAUUAGCCGACGCGCCCAGGCGUCCGAAAUUGCAUACGAUAUGUUCUCUUCUGUAAACCAAACCAAUCUAACCGACUAAAUCCGGAUGUUGAACCGCCCUCCGAAGGUCUGGAUCCAGACCACACACGCACCAGAAGAGGCUCCCCCCCCCUCCUCGCCACCUCCUCAAGCGCAGCCCCACCCACAUUCAAUACGCUGCUAAUCAAACGCAGCAGCACCUGGGGUGGCGC